This is an RNA transcript of Chelonia mydas (Green sea turtle), 3289 nucleotides long. It is a transcript of the gene named nuclear receptor binding protein 2, with no coding region annotated. Lineage: Eukaryota; Metazoa; Chordata; Testudines; Cheloniidae. The record is from RefSeq and is a predicted model, not a curated record. The transcript is spliced from 19 exons.
GGCGACAGCUGGUGCCCAGCUCCCCGGGAAGCCGCCUGGCGCCGCGUGCGAGCGCCCCGGGGGCUCGGGCUGCGGCGGGAGGGCUCCGGGCGCCCGCGGGGAGCCGGGGCAAGCGCCGGGAGCUGGCGCCAGACCCGUCCCAACGAGAACCCGGCCCCCCGGCGACAGGAGGGCGGCGAGCCCUUGAACCCGCUCCCACGGGGCUGGGGCGUGACACGGAGCUGCCCGUAACCUUCCCGAAGGCGGCUCCGAGUCCAGCCUCCCAAGCGGUGCGGGGCCCCCGAGGCGGCCAGGGGGCGGGCCGGGCCGGCCCCCGGGGCGUGCCAGGUCCGCCCGGGCUCUGCCCUGGAGCCGGGGAAGCGGGGCCGGGGCGCCCGGCGCUGCGGGCCGUUCGCCGGCGGGCUCGGGGAGGGAGCCGCAGCCGGGCAUGUCGGGGUUGGAGGCCGCGCUGCCGGCGGAGAAGGAGGAGGAGAGCGAGGAGGAGAGCGAGGUGCUGGAGGAGAGCCCCUGCGGGCGCUGGCAGAAGCGCCGGGAGCAGGUGAACCAGGGGAACAUGCCAGGGAUCCAGAGCACCUUCCUGGCCAUGGACACGGAGGAGGGCGUAGAGGUGGUGUGGAAUGAGCUGCACUUCACAGACAAGAAGGCCUUCAAGGCCCACGAGGAGAAGAUCAAUACCAUGUUUGAGCAGCUGGUGGUUGUGGAUCAUCCCAAUAUUGUGAAGUUGCAUAAGUACUGGCUGGAUGUGAAGGACUCCAAGGCCCGGGUGAUCUUCAUCACAGAAUACGUGUCCUCAGGGAGCCUGAAACAGUUCCUGAAGAAAACCAAGAAAAACCACAAGGCCAUGAACGCUCGGGCCUGGAAGCGCUGGUGCACACAGAUCCUCUCUGCUCUCAGCUUCCUGCAUUCCUGUGAUCCGCCCAUCAUCCACGGCAACCUGACGAGUGACACUAUCUUCAUCCAGCACAAUGGCCUCAUAAAGAUUGGCUCAGUCUGGCACAGGGUAUUUGCAAAUGCCAUCCCUGAUGACCUCCGAAGCCCCAUCAGGAUUGAGAGAGAGGAGCAGCGCAACUUGCAUUUCUUCCCCCCGGAGUAUGGCCAUGUAGCUGAUGGGACAGCUGUGGACAUUUUCUCCUUUGGAAUGUGCGCCCUGGAGAUGGCGGUGCUGGAGAUCCAGCCCAAUGGGGACAGCCAAGUCUCAGAGGAGGCGAUUGCUCGGGCAAGGCACUCCUUGGAUGAUCCCAACAUGCGGGACUUCAUUCUGGGGUGCCUGCUCCUCAACCCGGACAAGCGGCCGACAGCCCAUAACCUGCUCUUCCACCAGGUGCUCUUUGAGGUCCACUCCCUCAAACUGCUGGCAGCGCACUGCUUCAUCAGCCACCAAUACCUGAUGCCGGAGAACGUGGUGGAGGAGAAGACGAAGGAGCUGGACCUGAACAUGGUGAUGGCAGAGAUCCGGCGAGAGGGGCUGCCUGCAGUGCAGUGGAGAUACUCAGAAGUCUCCUUCCUGGAGCUUGAUAAGUUCCUGGAGGACGUCAGGAACGGGAUCUAUCCCCUGAUGAACUUUGCGGCCACCAGGCCCCUGCUGCUCCCGCGUGCGCUCUCCCAGCCUCAGGAAGACCCCCAGAAAGCCAAGACCCCCACCCCGGAGCCCUUCGAUGUGGAGACGAGGAAGGUGGUGCAGAUGCAGUGCAGCAUGGAGAUGAAUGAAGAGAAGGCCCAGUGGCAUCUCACGCUCUUGCUAACCCUGGAGGACAAGCUGCACCGACAGUUAAGCUACGACCUGCUGCCAAUUAAACCUGUUUCUGCAGCUGACAGUUCCAAGGGCUUGGCCUCAGAGCUGGUGCACUACGGAUUCAUCCAUGAGGAGAAUGUUACCAUGCGGCUCCUGGCAAUCUGAUGACCCCUCUACAGCAUCAGUUGCUCUGCUUAUCUGACCUUUGCCUCUCUGGAUCUCCACAGCCCUGCUCUUCUCCUUGCUAACACAGAGACAUGAGAGGAUGACUGUGAAAUGCUGGCCAACUUCCUAGAAAAUGCUUUCCACAAGCACCGGUCUCCUCCCUUGUGAGUCACCCCGAUGAGUUCUGGGCAGACAGGUGCCCCCCAAAGGAGGAUGGGAACUGUCCCAGGCCAGAAGGGGCUCUUGAUCAGACUUUCUGCUGCAGAGGUGACCUCGCCAUUUGUUCCUGGCUGUAUCUCUACUGUCCAUCUGGCCUGUGAUUCAGAAAGACAAUGGCAAGAAGAGAAAGAACCAGCAAACAUGAGGCAUUAGACAUGCGUCAUUGUUACCAGGAACCCACCAAGAAUGUGCUCUUUAGUCCCCACUUCUGAAGGAGGCCAGGGCGAGCGGUGAGGUGGUUUAAGGAGUGGAGGAUCAUGCAGGAAGCUUCUGGCUGGCGGGGUUUUUGAAGAUGCAAAGCUGCUGCAAGAGCUCACAAUCGGUAAAUUUACCUCUGGGAGCAAGAAGCACCUUCACUGUGGGCCAUCACUUCGCUUCCUCAGCUGGAAAUGGUCACAGCAGGGAGUGAGUCGGGUUGGGGGGAGUGCAGGUUUGGGAGGAUCUUGAGUAGUUUCCUGUCUGCCACAUUCCACCCCUUUUCCAGGCCUGAUUCCUCCUGCUCUGCUGGGUUCUCCCAGGGCAAAGGAGCCAUUGCAAUGCCUUAUAAGAACUGGACUCCCUCUGCUAGGCUGAGGAGAGGACAUUGUGAGUUGACUGACAUGGCAUGGGAAGAAAUUGCAGGAAUCCAGAACCAUCAGGUGGUUCAUAAAAUAUGGAUCAACAGAAGAACCACUGGUACUGAGCACAGCCUCUCUCAUUUCAAAGUUUGUCUCUUAGCCUUCCAAAAUUUCGCUACGUCCUAGGGAAAAGCCUUGAUGUCUCUUCCUUCCCUGUUUCUCCUGUGAAAUGUGGAAUUUCCAUCAUUAGACGGGAGAAUGGGGGCAAAUAUAGCUGCUGCUUGUCAGGUUCAAGAUUGGAAUAUUAUGCAAAUAGGAAUUGUGUAUCAAAAGCUGUGCCAUGCUGCUCUGCCUGCACCUCGCUGCUCUGAGUGUAGUUCGCACUGUGCCAUACGGGCCACGCUGACUUUUUUACACUGUGCCUGAUUCCCUGUCUAGUACUGGCUGCGUAUGCUUUGCCAUGCAGCGCAGACUGUACCCUGGUGUGCUGGGCUUGCCAUGCUGAGCUGCUUUGCCACGCUGUCCUGGCUGUUUAAUUACGUGAGUUUUCCAAGUGCUGAUAUUGUGCUAACUUUGUGGAUACUGACAUUUCAAUAAAUGGAUUGAAAAGAACAAA